RNAcentral lists this ribosomal RNA (301 nucleotides) under uncultured bacterium. Its description in RNAcentral is "partial 16S ribosomal RNA". It matches the Rfam family "Bacterial small subunit ribosomal RNA", at positions 509 to 807 of the family's 1533-position model. The record is from RNAcentral.
CAGUCGCCACGGGAAUACGAAGGGUGCAAGCGUUAAUCGGAAUUACUGGGCGUAAAGCGUGCGUAGGCGGUUUGUUAAGUCUGUUGUGAAAUCCCCGGGCUCAACCUGGGAAUGGCAAUGGAUACUGGCAAGCUAGAGUGUGUCAGAGGAUGGUGGAAUUCCCGGUGUAGCGGUGAAAUGCGUAGAGAUCGGGAGGAACAUCAGUGGCGAAGGCGGCCAUCUGGGACAACACUGACGCUGAGGCACGAGAGCGUGGGGAGCAAACAGGAUUAGAUACCCCCGUAGUCCCUGUCUCUUAUAC